Molecule: long non-coding RNA, 278 nt
Organism: Aphis gossypii (cotton aphid)
Lineage: Eukaryota; Metazoa; Arthropoda; Insecta; Hemiptera; Aphididae
Exons: 2
Source: RefSeq, a predicted model, not a curated record
CUUGGUUGAAUGCAUCGUGCAUCGAUCGAUUUGGCGCAAUCAUUCCUACUUCAAUCAUUCCUUGAAUAGACUUGUUGCUGGCUUGCAUGUCUUGUGCGGCGGCCGAUGUUCGCACGUCGUUCUCUAGGCAUUUUGGACUAUGGACAGAGUGUUGAAUUUAACUUCAAAUGCACGAUCCACAUAAUUUACACUGAGCUUAAAUGAAAUUAACUGAGCAGAGAAUAAUGACUAUCUGUCACACACUUUAUCACGCACCGUUGCUAUUGGUUUGAAGUACA